AAUUUAUUUAUUUUGGGCUUUUGUAAAACCGGGCCACCUUUUUCGUAUUUGCAAAUUCGGUCCGUUUUUUCCGCCGCCUGACCAAAAUGUCCCUCGUAUACAAUAGCCUCCCGCGUAUUUCUUGACAUACGUAUACUACCCUGCCGUACGGUCUGGCGCGCAUUAAAUGCGCCGCUUCCGCCUUACGCAACCUUGCUCAUUUCUCGGAACCCGGACCACAUCCGCCCCGCUAUUCGCCGGCCCCGCUGUUUGCUGUUGUGCUUUAAGACUUUAAUAAAUUUUCUGAAGCUAAAUUACAAAAACUGCACGCCUCGCAACAGGGAUAAUAGUGCAACGCGAAGGAACAACGUGAGGAGAAAUGGUGCAACCGCCCUUCUAACAGUGCAUCUCUAGGCUCGCUCCAGUGCAACCUCUCCAUAACAUGUCAAAAUUUUACUUUCUUUAUUUCUUAAUAUAAUCUGAAGUUAAAAGUGCAAAUGAACGGCGUCCCCUCCAAAUGCAGGCGAAGCGUCGGCGGCGCAGGACGGUCGGCUGCGGGGCAGGACGGUCCGCAAUGUGCGAGAUAACUGCUAAACGAUUGAAGAAGAUAAGCGUCGGCGUGGCAGGAAGCUUGGCUGCGGGGAGGACGGUCGCCGGCGGGUCCGAAGUUCGAGAGGUGUGACAUAACAGCUAAACGAUUGUGUAAAGUUUUCUCAUAAAAGCUCACGUGUUCUUUUAACUGUAUAAUAAGUCCAUAGUUAAACGCGAGUAAUAGUGCAAGAUAGUGUUAAUAACAGAACAAUAGUUUACAAAAAAGUGCAACGAAUCUUGUAAGAGUGCAAUACGGUGUUAAUAACAGUGCAAUAGAUUGAAUAAAGAGUGCAAAUAAGCUUGUAAGUGUGCAAUAUGGUGAUAAUACCAGUGCAAUGGUUUGAAAAAGAGUGGUACUAAGCUUGUA
Molecule: long non-coding RNA, 937 nt
Filed under: Ananas comosus (pineapple)
Lineage: Eukaryota; Viridiplantae; Streptophyta; Magnoliopsida; Poales; Bromeliaceae
Description: long non-coding RNA (ACOM_LNC005485)
Source: RNAcentral